Molecule: ribosomal RNA, 397 nt
Filed under: uncultured bacterium
Lineage: Bacteria
Description: partial 16S ribosomal RNA
Rfam family: Bacterial small subunit ribosomal RNA
Source: RNAcentral
AUACGUAGGUGACAAGCGUUAUCCGGAUUUACUGGGCGUAAAGGGCGUGUAGGCGGUCUUGCAAGUCAGAAGUGAAAUUCCUGAGCUCAACUCGGGCGCUGCUUCUGAAACUGCAGGACUUGAGUGCUGGAGAGGUUAUCGGAAUUCCCGGGGUAGCGGUGAAAUGCGUAGAGAUCGGGAGGAACACCAGUGGCGAAGGCGGGUAACUGGACUGCAACUGACGCUGAGGCGCGAAAGUGUGGGGAGCAAACAGGAUUAGAUACCCUGGUAGUCCACACUGUAAACGAUGAAUGCUAGGUGUAAGAGGUAUCGACCCCUUUUGUGCCGGAGUCAACACAAUAAGCAUUCCGCCUGGGGAGUACGGCCGCAAGGUUGAAACUCAAAGGAAUUGACGGGG